GGAGCAGGCGGCCGCAAGGGUCUGUGGUGAAAGACCGAAGCUAAACUUCGGUAAGCCAUGGAAACCGGGCGGCUAGAGUGUGGAAGAGGAUCGUGGAAUUCCAUGUGUAGCGGUGAAAUGCGUAGAUAUAUGGAGGAACACCAGUGGCGAAGGCGACGGUCUGGGCCGCAACUGACGCUCAUUCCCGAAAGCGUGGGGAGCAAAUA
Molecule: ribosomal RNA, 206 nt
Filed under: uncultured bacterium
Lineage: Bacteria
Description: partial 16S ribosomal RNA
Rfam family: Bacterial small subunit ribosomal RNA
Source: RNAcentral